This 20-nucleotide unclassified non-coding RNA is filed under the name Chlamydomonas reinhardtii. RNAcentral's name for it is "small RNA Cre_0601". The record is from RNAcentral. Lineage: Eukaryota; Viridiplantae; Chlorophyta; Chlorophyceae; Chlamydomonadales; Chlamydomonadaceae.
AGGUGGGGGAAGGAGGGUGG